Molecule: RNA transcript, 1135 nt
Organism: Hipposideros armiger (great roundleaf bat)
Lineage: Eukaryota; Metazoa; Chordata; Mammalia; Chiroptera; Hipposideridae
Gene: TMEM202
Gene name: transmembrane protein 202
Exons: 3
Source: RefSeq, a predicted model, not a curated record
CCGGCGCGGCUCUAGGACCGCGACCCCGGAGCACAGACCUCCUGACCCGGCGUGAACCCGGGGCUCCUGCGGUGUGGGGUCGAGGGUGCGGGGCAUCGGCGGUGGCUCCGGUGCAGGCCGCUCGCGGGCCUGGUGGCCCAGUAGCUAAUGCACCUCGCAGAGGCCAUGCCUGCCAGCACAGAGCUGUGAGCGCACCCUACUGUGGAAGCGCCUCGUUGGGAGCGGAAAAGUCCCCUGACAGGAUUUCUAGGCUGAAUCUUGAACGAGGAAUAAGAGUUCGCCAGGCCUGACUGGGAGGUAAAGGACGCCCCAGGCCCGGGGACCUUCAGAAGCAGAAAAGAGGAGGAUUAAAACCGCAGGCCGUUGUUAUAUGAAAUGCUGUGGUGCAGAAAAGGGCUGGGAGUAGGUAGUCUGGCUCUUCUAGAGAGGGCAUCACAAGAUCACAAAAAUGUGAUCUACUUAUGACUGGGGGGAAAAAAAGUGUACUUUCAGAGCAAGCUUAAGGUUUCCCAAUUCCUGCUUCUGGUGUGCGCUAUUCCCUUGAUGGUUGAUAAUCUUCUAGUAACUGCCCCCCAAACCCUCGCCCCUGAGACAAAAACUUCACGAAAUGGAGUAUGUGCUUACUGCAAAUAGACAUUGGUUGGACUUGGAGUGCAAGAUGGAGAAUUCCCGGAGAUAAGACUGAGGCUUGGUCCUGCAGGGGCUUACAUAUGAGCAGAAGUCCAAAGUCAGGACUUGAUUCUGUGGGCUAUUGAAAAUCACCACAAAUAUUUGCGUUUUAGAAAUCUCAUGUUGAAUAGAUAAGAAACCAGUUAGGAGGCCCUUUUUUUUUUUAUUGGAUGUGGAAGAUAAUGAGAACUUGAACUACAGCAGUGGGGAAGGAAGACAGCUGUACAUCCAGGAAACAAUUAUCUCCAAUAUUCCAGGGCCUUGCACAUCCUCUCUGUCUUCACCGUACUCAUCAGCCUCGGCUGGCUCUUCAGUUCUUGCCUCCCUAGAAGAGGAAGCGUGACCACCAACUUGGAUCUGAAGGUCUCCAUACUGAGCUUCAUCUCAGGUUCACUGGCAUACCAGGGAUGCCAUGGAGUCAGCUCUCCUGUGGGCCUAUCAUAUUAACUGGUGGAGUGACUUCUUA